Molecule: ribosomal RNA, 1692 nt
Filed under: Shigella sonnei
Lineage: Bacteria; Pseudomonadati; Pseudomonadota; Gammaproteobacteria; Enterobacterales; Enterobacteriaceae
Description: partial 23S ribosomal RNA
Rfam family: Bacterial large subunit ribosomal RNA
Source: RNAcentral
GAGGCAUGCUGGAGGUAUCAGAAGUGCGAAUGCUGACAUAAGUAACGAUAAAGCGGGUGAAAAGCCCGCUCGCCGGAAGACCAAGGGUUCCUGUCCAACGUUAAUCGGGGCAGGGUGAGUCGACCCCUAAGGCGAGGCCGAAAGGCGUAGUCGAUGGGAAACAGGUUAAUAUUCCUGUACUUGGUGUUACUGCGAAGGGGGGACGGAGAAGGCUAUGUUGGCCGGGCGACGGUUGUCCCGGUUUAAGCGUGUAGGCUGGUUUUCCAGGCAAAUCCGGAAAAUCAAGGCUGAGGCGUGAUGACGAGGCACUACGGUGCUGAAGCAACAAAUGCCCUGCUUCCAGGAAAAGCCUCUAAGCAUCAGGUAACAUCAAAUCGUACCCCAAACCGACACAGGUGGUCAGGUAGAGAAUACCAAGGCGCUUGAGAGAACUCGGGUGAAGGAACUAGGCAAAAUGGUGCCGUAACUUCGGGAGAAGGCACGCUGAUAUGUAGGUGAAGUCCCUUGCGGAUGGAGCUGAAAUCAGUCGAAGAUACCAGCUGGCUGCAACUGUUUAUUAAAAACACAGCACUGUGCAAACACGAAAGUGGACGUAUACGGUGUGACGCCUGCCCGGUGCCGGAAGGUUAAUUGAUGGGGUCAGCGCAAGCGAAGCUCUUGAUCGAAGCCCCGGUAAACGGCGGCCGUAACUAUAACGGUCCUAAGGUAGCGAAAUUCCUUGUCGGGUAAGUUCCGACCUGCACGAAUGGCGUAAUGAUGGCCAGGCUGUCUCCACCCGAGACUCAGUGAAAUUGAACUCGCUGUGAAGAUGCAGUGUACCCGCGGCAAGACGGAAAGACCCCGUGAACCUUUACUAUAGCUUGACACUGAACAUUGAGCCUUGAUGUGUAGGAUAGGUGGGAGGCUUUGAAGUGUGGACGCCAGUCUGCAUGGAGCCGGCCUUGAAAUACCACCCUUUAAUGUUUGAUGUUCUAACGUGGACCCGUGAUCCGGGUUGCGGACAGUGUCUGGUGGGUAGUUUGACUGGGGCGGUCUCCUCCUAAAGAGUAACGGAGGAGCACGAAGGUUGGCUAAUCCUGGUCGGACAUCAGGAGGUUAGUGCAAUGGCAUAAGCCAGCUUGACUGCGAGCGUGACGGCGCGAGCAGGUGCGAAAGCAGGUCAUAGUGAUCCGGUGGUUCUGAAUGGAAGGGCCAUCGCUCAACGGAUAAAAGGUACUCCGGGGAUAACAGGCUGAUACCGCCCAAGAGUUCAUAUCGACGGCGGUGUUUGGCACCUCGAUGUCGGCUCAUCACAUCCUGGGGCUGAAGUAGGUCCCAAGGGUAUGGCUGUUCGCCAUUUAAAGUGGUACGCGAGCUGGGUUUAGAACGUCGUGAGACAGUUCGGUCCCUAUCUGCCGUGGGCGCUGGAGAACUGAGGGGGGCUGCUCCUAGUACGAGAGGACCGGAGUGGACGCAUCACUGGUGUUCGGGUUGUCAUGCCAAUGGCACUGCCCGGUAGCUAAAUGCGGAAGAGAUAAGUGCUGAAAGCAUCUAAGCACGAAACUUGCCCCGAGAUGAGUUCUCCCUGACCCUUUAAGGGUCCUGAAGGAACGUUGAAGACGACGACGUUGAUAGGCCGGGUGUGUAAGCGCAGCGAUGCGUUGAGCUAACCGGUACUAAUGAACCGUGAGGCUUAACCUUACAACGCCGAAG